AGUCACUGACAUUAGAUACCCCUGUAGUCCAGGGUGUAAACGCUGCAGACUUGGUGUUGGAAGUCCUUUGGGGGCAUUCAGUGCCGGAGAGAAGUUGUUAAGUCUGCUACUUGGGGAGUACGUCCGCAAGGAUGAAACUUAAAGGAAUUGGCGGGGGAGCACCGCAACGGGAGGAGCGUGCGGUUUAAUUGGAUUCAACACCGUAAACUCACCAGGGAAGACUGUUACAUGAAAGUCAGGUUGAUGACCUUACUAGAUUUUCAG
RNAcentral lists this ribosomal RNA (264 nucleotides) under uncultured archaeon. RNAcentral's name for it is "partial 16S ribosomal RNA". It matches the Rfam family "Archaeal small subunit ribosomal RNA", at positions 718 to 982 of the family's 1478-position model. The record is from RNAcentral.